GUGCUCACUUCGGCAGCACAUAUACUAAAUUGGAACUAUACAGAGAAGAUGAGCAUGGCCCCUGCUCAAGGAUGACAUGCAAAUUUGUGAAGCAUUCCAUGUUUUU
This 106-nucleotide small nuclear RNA is filed under the name Myotis davidii. The record is from RNAcentral. Lineage: Eukaryota; Metazoa; Chordata; Mammalia; Chiroptera; Vespertilionidae.